This 253-nucleotide ribosomal RNA is filed under the name uncultured bacterium. RNAcentral describes it as "partial 16S ribosomal RNA". It matches the Rfam family "Bacterial small subunit ribosomal RNA", at positions 524 to 776 of the family's 1533-position model. The record is from RNAcentral.
UACGAAGGGGGCUAGCGUUGUUCGGAAUUACUGGGCGUAAAGGGCUCGUAGGUGGCCAACUAAGUCAUGCGUGAAAUCCCUCGGCUUAACCGGGGAACUGCGUCUGAUACUGGAUGGCUUGAAUCCGGGAGAGGGAUGCGGAAUUCCAGGUGUAGCGGUGAAAUGCGUAGAUAUCUGGAGGAACACCGGUGGCGAAGGCGGCAUCCUGGACCAAUAUUGACGCUGAGGAGCGAAAGCCAGGGGAGCAAACGGG